RNAcentral lists this long non-coding RNA (334 nucleotides) under Elaeis guineensis (African oil palm). RNAcentral's name for it is "long non-coding RNA (EGUI_LNC064323)". Lineage: Eukaryota; Viridiplantae; Streptophyta; Magnoliopsida; Arecales; Arecaceae. The record is from RNAcentral.
AUCCGAGCUUCUACAGUAAGCAGUCUACUCCGAACUUCUAUUGCAAGUAGACUUCGUCCGAGCUUCUACAGUAAGCGAUCUACUCUGAACUUCUAUUGCAAGCAGACUUCGUCCGAGCUUCUACAGUAAGCAGUCUCCAUCCGGGCUGCCAUGGCAACCGAUCUCCAUCCGAGCUUCUACAAUAAGCGGUCUCCAUCCGGGCUUUCACGGCAACCGGUCUCCAUCCGAGCUUCUACAGAAAGCAGCCUUCUUCCAGACUCCUACAAGAGCCGGACUCCAUCCGAACUUCUACAGCAGAUGACUUUCGUCUGCAGCACCAACAGCACCCAACCAU